GAUGAACGCUAGCUACAGGCUUAACACAUGCAAGUCGAGGGGCAGCAUGUCGGUUGCUUGCAACCGACGAUGGCGACCGGCGCACGGGUGAGUAACGCGUAUCCAACCUACCCUUGUCCAUCGGAUAACCCGUCGAAAGGCGGCCUAACACGAUAUGCGGUUCACAGCAGGCAUCUAAGGUGAACGAAAUGUGAAGGAGAAGGAUGGGGAUGCGUCUGAUUAGCUUGUUGGCGGGGUAACGGCCCACCAAGGCGACGAUCAGUAGGGGUUCUGAGAGGAAGGUCCCCCACAUUGGAACUGAGACACGGUCCAAACUCCUACGGGAGGCAGCAGUGAGGAAUAUUGGUCAAUGGGCGAGAGCCUGAACCAGCCAAGUAGCGUGCAGGAUGACGGCCCUAUGGGUUGUAAACUGCUUUUAUAAGGGAAUAAAGUGAGCCUCGUGAGGCUUUUUGCAUGUACCUUAUGAAUAAGGACCGGCUAAUUCCGUGCCAGCAGCCGCGGUAAUACGGAAGGUCCGGGCGUUAUCCGGAUUUAUUGGGUUUAAAGGGAGCGUAGGCCGGAGAUUAAGCGUGUUGUGAAAUGUAGAUGCUCAACAUCUGCACUGCAGCGCGAACUGGUUUCCUUGAGUACGCACAAAGUGGGCGGAA
This 647-nucleotide ribosomal RNA is filed under the name uncultured Prevotella sp. RNAcentral describes it as "bacterial SSU rRNA". It matches the Rfam family "Bacterial small subunit ribosomal RNA", at positions 28 to 666 of the family's 1533-position model. The record is from RNAcentral. Lineage: Bacteria; Pseudomonadati; Bacteroidota; Bacteroidia; Bacteroidales; Prevotellaceae.